Molecule: unclassified non-coding RNA, 443 nt
Filed under: Hevea brasiliensis (rubber tree)
Lineage: Eukaryota; Viridiplantae; Streptophyta; Magnoliopsida; Malpighiales; Euphorbiaceae
Source: RNAcentral
GUUUCAUAGUUUCAUUUGGAGGGAGAUUCGAUUUCAGACUUUCAACCUCGAUAGCACGACCUAACAGUUUCCUCUCAUCUUUUUCUUCUCGGGAAGCUCCCUUUCCAUUUGAGAGGGACGAGUCCAGAGCUUUUAGUGGCCUUGGAGUAGGAAAUUGGGAGAAGCAGCUGGUGGAGGAAAUAGAAUGAAUUUUGAAUUUCGCUUGAUUGGGUUUUUGAGUUUGUAAGUCUCUCCCUUACUGAUUUGUUUUGUUUCUGGGUUUAUUGCUUUAGCUAUAAUAGGUUAUUUCUUGUUUUAUGGAGUUUCUGAAUUUCUAAAUUUAUGGAUUUCAGAGAUUUUGUGGGUUUAGGGUUGAAUUUUGAUUUUGUAGUUUUUGGAUUUUAAACAGAAAUCACCAACUGCAGCUAUGGUGUUCCAAAUUCAAAUAAAACUAGUUAUUUUUU